UUUAUGGAGAGUUUGAUCCUGGCUCAGGAUGAACGCUGGCGGCGUGCCUAAUACAUGCAAGUCGAGCGAACGGACGAGGAGCUUGCUUCUCUGAUGUUAGCGGCGGACGGGUGAGUAACACGUGGAUAACCUACCUAUAAGACUGGGAUAACUUCGGGAAACCGGAGCUAAUACCGGAUAAUAUUUUGAACCGCAUGGUUCAAAAGUGAAAGACGGUCUUGCUGUCACUUAUAGAUGGAUCCGCGCUGCAUUAGCUAGUUGGUAAGGUAACGGCUUACCAAGGCAACGAUGCAUAGCCGACCUGAGAGGGUGAUCGGCCACACUGGAACUGAGACACGGUCCAGACUCCUACGGGAGGCAGCAGUAGGGAAUCUUCCGCAAUGGGCGAAAGCCUGACGGAGCAACGCCGCGUGAGUGAUGAAGGUCUUCGGAUCGUAAAACUCUGUUAUUAGGGAAGAACAUAUGUGUAAGUAACUGUGCACAUCUUGACGGUACCUAAUCAGAAAGCCACGGCUAACUACGUGCCAGCAGCCGCGGUAAUACGUAGGUGGCAAGCGUUAUCCGGAAUUAUUGGGCGUAAAGCGCGCGUAGGCGGUUUUUUAAGUCUGAUGUGAAAGCCCACGGCUCAACCGUGGAGGGUCAUUGGAAACUGGAAAACUUGAGUGCAGAAGAGGAAAGUGGAAUUCCAUGUGUAGCGGUGAAAUGCGCAGAGAUAUGGAGGAACACCAGUGGCGAAGGCGACUUUCUGGUCUGUAACUGACGCUGAUGUGCGAAAGCGUGGGGAUCAAACAGGAUUAGAUACCCUGGUAGUCCACGCCGUAAACGAUGAGUGCUAAGUGUUAGGGGGUUUCCGCCCCUUAGUGCUGCAGCUAACGCAUUAAGCACUCCGCCUGGGGAGUACGACCGCAAGGUUGAAACUCAAAGGAAUUGACGGGGACCCGCACAAGCGGUGGAGCAUGUGGUUUAAUUCGAAGCAACGCGAAGAACCUUACCAAAUCUUGACAUCCUUUGACAACUCUAGAGAUAGAGCCUUCCCCUUCGGGGGACAAAGUGACAGGUGGUGCAUGGUUGUCGUCAGCUCGUGUCGUGAGAUGUUGGGUUAAGUCCCGCAACGAGCGCAACCCUUAAGCUUAGUUGCCAUCAUUAAGUUGGGCACUCUAAGUUGACUGCCGGUGACAAACCGGAGGAAGGUGGGGAUGACGUCAAAUCAUCAUGCCCCUUAUGAUUUGGGCUACACACGUGCUACAAUGGACAAUACAAAGGGCAGCGAAACCGCGAGGUCAAGCAAAUCCCAUAAAGUUGUUCUCAGUUCGGAUUGUAGUCUGCAACUCGACUACAUGAAGCUGGAAUCGCUAGUAAUCGUAGAUCAGCAUGCUACGGUGAAUACGUUCCCGGGUCUUGUACACACCGCCCGUCACACCACGAGAGUUUGUAACACCCGAAGCCGGUGGAGUAACCUUUUAGGAGCUAGCCGUCGAAGGUGGGACAAAUGAUUGGGGUGAAGUCGUAACAAGGUAGCCGUAUCGGAAGGUGCGGCUGGAUCACCUCCUUUCU
RNAcentral lists this ribosomal RNA (1554 nucleotides) under Staphylococcus aureus. RNAcentral's name for it is "16S ribosomal RNA". It matches the Rfam family "Bacterial small subunit ribosomal RNA". The record is from RNAcentral. Lineage: Bacteria; Bacillati; Bacillota; Bacilli; Caryophanales; Staphylococcaceae.